RNAcentral lists this long non-coding RNA (4389 nucleotides) under Homo sapiens (human). Its description in RNAcentral is "HSALNT0037692". The record is from RNAcentral. Lineage: Eukaryota; Metazoa; Chordata; Mammalia; Primates; Hominidae.
CCAAUCUUGGCUGUUCACUGGAGGCCUCAGCUCCUUACCACCCAGACCUCUCCCUAGGACUGAUUGAAUGUCCUCAUCAUGUGGCAGAUGUCUUCCCCCAAAGUGAGCGAUCCUAAGACGGCAUAGCAGAAACCUCAAUAUCUUUUAUAAUGUAGCCUAAGUAGUCACACAGUCUCAUUUCUUCAGGAUUCUGCCAGUGACACGGCCAGCCAUGACUUAGUGUGGAGGGGACUACACACGGGCAGGAUUACCAGGAGGGAGGAAUUGGUGGGGCCCAGCUUGGAAGCUGGUUACCAACACAGAGGUCUAGGAGGGGAAGAGUAAGAGUCCACAAGAGCACAGUGCUUCCGGGGUGGGAGAAGAGGGAACACAGGUCUUCCCCAGCUCCUGCCUGACCUCCUAGUGAGAAGGGGGAAGGUGGUGGUGACAGACUGCACAUGGCAGGUGGAGGGCUUUGAGUUUGUCCUUGUGGUCCAGUGGAGGCCAGAGGCAAGAGCUCUGUGAUGGACCCUAUCCAGACCAGCAGGGUGAGGAGGGAAAAUGGUCGCAGCAGUGUUGCUCCUGUAGAAUGGAGAGGUGGCUUUCCCCCAGGAAUGAGACAUCUGGCCAAAGGUAUUGGGGGCAGCGUUGUGACAGGGAGGCAGAGAUCAAGCCUACGUGGAGUGUGAUGCUGUGCUGCUCUGGCCUAAGGUGUGCAGCGUCUCCAAGGACACUGCUCAGCUCCCUUAGUAUCAGGGCAACUGCACCAGGCUCAAGCCAGAGAGCUCCAAGAAGGGCCAAAUUUCAGAAUGGACUCAAGACUGCUGCCUUUCCACUGUCAUCACUGCCCAGACUCCACUCAGACAAUCUCAAGAGAUUCCUUUAGAGCUCAGGUGCUUCCUUGUCUUCCCAUUUAUUUAGGGAUUUCUACCCAGAGGGUCAGAAAUUAACAGAAAGCCCAACUUCACUGCAACAAGGGGAAAUAGGAAUUUUGCUAUUUUCUGAUCAUGGACAAAUGCAGUCAGUUGUUUGAUGCCAGGAAAAUUCAUCUGCUACUAAAUCUCUACAUAUAUAUGACUUCAUUUUUUCAGUUUUCUUUGCUUCAAAGGAUGUUUAUUUAAGUUAUAUUUGUACGCUCUCCCCCUAAGACAUACAGAACACUGCGCAACUGUGAACUGUACUUAAGUAGGCAUUUCAUAUUCCAUUUUUACGGUAACCCCUUGCAGGGAAAGAGUCAGUGCAGCAAAUCUGUUUUGCUCAAUUCUAGCUUAUCUCUGAGGAUGUCUGGAGCCAGGAUCUAAGAACUAAACCUUGGAAUGUUCACAAAUGAUGUCAUUCUGUGCCCAGCACAUUGGGGUAGGACAUACUAAACCAUCAACACCAUUUAAAGCAAACAUGAACCUCUAUGAUGUACACCUGGUGCCUGGUUUGAGGCUCACAACACGAGUGCUUGCGUAGCAGGUAUGCACCAGAACUGUGCCUGAGUUCUCUGCUCUUCAAAGCUGGAAAGAAAACAUGUGUGUGUGUAAGCCAUGCAGAAGGACAAAAGCCUGUUCCUGAGCAUUUUAGCCUUCACCUGUACGUGUAUUUUUUUUUUUCUGUUCUGGCACUGUAUCUUUUGCAAUAAACCUUAGCGGUGAGUAGAAUCUGAUGCUGAGUUAUGCAGGUUCUUCUAGUGAAUUACUGAACCAGUGAGUAGUCAUAGGCCCCCAGAACCUGCCUAAUUUUCAAAGUAAAAUUUUUAAUUACUUGGAAUGAAGUUCAAUCCUAGAUACUACCUAGGAACAGCAACCUCAAAUAUCUCAUUACAGCUUUGCUGCUUUUAGAGUAAAUAAUCACAGAAACUUUUACCUCCCAGAGCCUAUUAAUUCCCCUCUCCACUUCUAUUCUUCUUAAUAACAAUCACAUAUAUACUGAUAGGAAUCACUGGUUAUUUUGAAGACAUAUAAGUGGUAAGGAACCCAGUUCCACCUCCUCCCACAGUAACAAAAUAAAGGAGGAAGCAAAGAUAUAUAGGAGCAAAAGUUUCGUGCACUAUCAAGAAUAAAUUGAGGCUGGGUGCGGUGGCUCACACCUGCAAUCCCAGCACUUUGGGAGGCUCAGGCAGGCAGACCACUUGAUGUCAGGAGUUCAAGACCAGCCUGGCCAACAUGGUGAAACUCUGUCCCUACCAAAAAAUACAAAAAUUAGCCAAGCAUGGUGGCACGCACCUGUAGUACCAGCUACUCGCCCAGCUGAGGUGGGAGAAUUGCUUGAACCCAGGAAGCGGAGGCUUCAGUGAGCCACGAUCGCACCACUGCACUCCAGUCAAGACCCUGUCUCAAAAAAUUUGUAAAAAAGGAAAAAUUGAUAUUAAUUUCAUCCAGAUUGUUAUAAAUUAUGUUAGUCGUAACCCCCAGGGCAAACACUAAGAAAAUGACUAAAAAUAUAUAGUAAAAGAAAUGAAAAUGGAAUCAAAAUGGUACUGUAAAAAAUAUCUUUCUGUGUACACUGACAGACAACACCAAAAAAAGAAAUAAAAUAUAUUUUUAAUACAAAAGAAGGGAAUAACAGGAACUGAGGAACAAAAAAUAUGUAAGACAUUUAGAAAACAAAAAUAAAAUGCAGAAGUAAUGAUCAGUAAUCACGUUAAAUAAAAAUAGAUUAAACUCUUCAUUUAAAAACCAGAUAUUGGCAGAAUGGGUGAACAUUUCCCAAUUAUACCCCAGCUACAAGAUACUCAUUUUUGUUUCAAGUCACACAUAGGUUGAAAAUGAGAGGACACAAAAAGAUAUUCCAUGAAAAUAGUAACCCAAAGAGAGCUGGAGUGGCUACUAAUGUCAGACAAAAUAGACUUUAAGACAAAAAUUGUUACAAGAGGCAAGGAGGGCAUUUAUAUAAUGAUAAAAGGGUCAAUUUAUUAAGAUAUAUAACAGGUAUAAACAUAUGCACUCAAUAACAGAGUCUCAAAAUAUAUGAAGCAAAAACUAACAGAAUUGAAGUGAGAAAUAGACAGUUAAAUAAUAAAAGUUGAAAAAUUCAACACCCUCCUUUCAAUAAUGAAUAGAACAACUAACCAUGGCCAGGUGCAGUGGCUCACACCUGUAAUCCCAGCACUUUGGGAGGCCGAGGUGGGUGGAUCACUUAAGGUCAGGAGUUUGAGACCAGCCUGGCCAACAUGGUGAAACCCCGUCUCAACUAAAAAUACAGAAAUUAGUCGGGUGUGGGGGCGGGUGCCCAUAAUCCCAGCUACUCGGGAGGCUGAGGCAAGAGAAUCGCUUGAACCCGAGAGGCAGAAGUUGCAGUGAGCCGAGAUUGCAUCACUGCACUUCAGCCUGGGUGACGUGACAAAGCAAGACUCCAUCUAAAAAAAAAAAAAAAAAGAAGAACAGCUAAAGAAAUGAUAAACAAGGAAACAGAAGACUUGAACAACACUUUAAACCAACUGAAUUGAACAGACAUAUAUAUAGCAUUUCACUAAACAACAGCAAAACAUACAUUAUUUUCAAGUGCUAAUGGAACAACUUCCAGGAUGACCAUAGGUUAAUCCACAAAUGAAGCCUCAAUAAGUGUAAAACAAGUGAAGGCAUACAAAGUAUCUUCUUUGACACAAUGGAAUAAACUUAGAAAUCAAUAGCAGAAGGAAAUUUAGAAAAUUCAGAAAUUUGUGGAAAUUAAAUGGCACACUCUUAAAUAACUGAUGGAUCAAAAAGAAAUAACAAGAGAAAAUUGAAAAUACUUUCAGAAAAACAAAACAUUCCCAAACCUAUGAGAUGCAGCAAAGGCAGCAGGCAGAGAGAAAUGUAUGGCUGUAAGUGCCCACAUUGAAAAGAAAAAAGAUUCAAAUCAACUGAACUUCAACCUUAAGGAACUAGAAAAAGGAAAGCAAUUAAACCCAAAGAGCAGAAGGGGAAAAAAUAACAAAGACUGGAGCAGGGAUAAAUGAAAUAGAAGACAGAAAAAUGAUGGAAAGAAUCAACAAAACCAAACGUUUAUUCUUGGAAAAGAUUGAUAAAAUAGGCAAAUUUGGCUGGCAAAAUGUGGUGGCUCACAACUGCAUUCCCAGAACUUUGGGUGGCUGAGGUAGGAGGAUUGCUUGAGGCCAGGAGUUUGACACCAGACUGGGCAACAUAGUGAGACCCCAUCUCUACUUUAAAAAAUGAAGACAAACUUUUAGCUAGACUGAUUAAAAGAGAGAGAGAGUGAGAGACAGAGAGAGAGAGAGAGAAGAAAAAAAUCAAGAAUUAAAGUGGAGACUUUACUACCAUCCUAACAGAAAUCAAAAGAAUUACAAGAGAGUGCUAUGAACAAUUGCAUGCCAACAAAAUAGAUAACAGAUGAAAUUGACAAAUUCCUAGAAACACACAAAACUAGUCAAACUGACAGAAGAAAAAAAAAUAAGCAAUCUGAAUACAACAGAUGAAGAGACUG